GCGGUUGUAGUCUAGCCUGGUCUAGGACCCUGGCCUUCCAAGCCAGUUACCCGGGUUCAAAUCCCGGCAGCCGCACCA
This 78-nucleotide transfer RNA is filed under the name Candidatus Freyrarchaeum guaymasense. RNAcentral describes it as "tRNA-Gly". It matches the Rfam family "tRNA". From Rfam's summary of the family: Transfer RNA (tRNA) molecules are approximately 80 nucleotides in length. The record is from RNAcentral. Lineage: Archaea; Promethearchaeati; Candidatus Freyarchaeota; Candidatus Freyrarchaeia; Candidatus Freyrarchaeales; Candidatus Freyrarchaeaceae.